This 734-nucleotide ribosomal RNA is filed under the name uncultured Bacilli bacterium. RNAcentral describes it as "bacterial SSU rRNA". It matches the Rfam family "Bacterial small subunit ribosomal RNA", at positions 48 to 753 of the family's 1533-position model. Lineage: Bacteria; Bacillati; Bacillota; Bacilli. The record is from RNAcentral.
CUAAUACAUGCAAGUCGAACGCUUCUUUUUCCACCGGAGCUUGCUCCACCGGAAAAAGAGGAGUGGCGAACGGGUGAGUAACACGUGGGUAACCUGCCCAUCAGAAGGGGAUAACACUUGGAAACAGGUGCUAAUACCGUAUAACAAUCGAAACCGCAUGGUUUUGAUUUGAAAGGCGCUUUCGGGUGUCGCUGAUGGAUGGACCCGCGGUGCAUUAGCUAGUUGGUGAGGUAACGGCUCACCAAGGCCACGAUGCAUAGCCGACCUGAGAGGGUGAUCGGCCACAUUGGGACUGAGACACGGCCCAAACUCCUACGGGAGGCAGCAGUAGGGAACCUUCGGCAAUGGACGAAAGUCUGACCGAGCAACGCCGCGUGAGUGAAGAAGGUUUUCGGAUCGUAAAACUCUGUUGUUAGAGAAGAACAAGGAUGAGAGUAACUGUUCAUCCCUUGACGGUAUCUAACCAGAAAGCCACGGCUAACUACGUGCCAGCAGCCGCGGUAAUACGUAGGUGGCAAGCGUUGUCCGGAUUUAUUGGGCGUAAAGCGAGCGCAGGCGGUUUCCUAAGUCUGAUGUGAAAGCCCCCGGCUCAACCGGGGAGGGUCAUUGGAAACUGGGAGACUUGAGUGCAGAAGAGGAGAGUGGAAUUCCAUGUGUAGCGGUGAAAUGCGUAGAUAUAUGGAGGAACACCAGUGGCGAAGGCGGCUCUCUGGUCUGUAACUGACGCUGAGGCU